Molecule: transfer RNA, 70 nt
Filed under: Camelus bactrianus (Bactrian camel)
Lineage: Eukaryota; Metazoa; Chordata; Mammalia; Artiodactyla; Camelidae
Also listed under: 2 other names
Rfam family: tRNA
About the family: Transfer RNA (tRNA) molecules are approximately 80 nucleotides in length. Their secondary structure includes four short double-helical elements and three loops (D, anti-codon, and T loops).
Source: Rfam by way of RNAcentral
GGGUAUAGCUCAGUGGCAGAGCAUCUGCUUAGCAUGCGAGAAGUACUGAGUUCAAUCCCCAGUAUAUCCA